UUCUUUUUAUUUUCACUGUAUACUCGUGUUACAACACGACAUCCACCCCCUCUGAACUUGUGCAUCCUCCGGUAUGCACCAAUUUAUCCAAUUGCUGUUUGAUUCAGAAUAUAUCCCCUACGUCUUUGUCCAGUUCGUCUUCGUCACCUUCAUUAUCCAUAUCACUUUCAUCUUCUUGCUGCGGAAUCUCUGUACCUUCAUUAAGGUCUUCCAUAUUCAUCUC
RNAcentral lists this long non-coding RNA (223 nucleotides) under Physcomitrium patens. RNAcentral's name for it is "long non-coding RNA (PPAT_LNC002072)". Lineage: Eukaryota; Viridiplantae; Streptophyta; Bryopsida; Funariales; Funariaceae. The record is from RNAcentral.